Glycine soja is the source of this 243-nucleotide long non-coding RNA. RefSeq lists it as uncharacterized. Lineage: Eukaryota; Viridiplantae; Streptophyta; Magnoliopsida; Fabales; Fabaceae. The record is from RefSeq and is a predicted model, not a curated record. The transcript is spliced from 2 exons.
UUGCUCUCUCCAAAUGGGUCGACGCCAAGCCUGAAAAACCUACUAUUUGUUCAGACACCCCGGAGCAGUGAUCUGGAAUAGUUGGAAGCUAUAAAUGCAUAAAUCUUUGAGAUGUGGAAGUUCAUUGUCAUUUUGAACCUUUAUGUGAUGUUUAAUUCCUUUGUUUUUUUCUCUCUCCAUGAAAUGGAACAUGCACUGGAUUUUGAUUUGCAUGGUUAAUCUUGUAAUAAUAAAAGUUUAAAC